This is an RNA transcript of Eucalyptus grandis, 1320 nucleotides long. RefSeq lists it as uncharacterized. The transcript has 5 exons. The record is from RefSeq and is a predicted model, not a curated record. NCBI's taxonomy places the organism in Eukaryota, Viridiplantae, Streptophyta, Magnoliopsida, Myrtales, Myrtaceae.
CCCAGAUUCUCCGGAGGUAAUGAUCCGAAAUGCAUCUGAGCUUUUGAAGCAUCGUUAGAUCCCUCAACUUCGAAGCUUCUGGGGGAAACAAAUUGCUGCGAGUCGCAAGAAUGUAGUCAAGAAUCGGGGGACCUUUCGAGUUCGAAACAUUCGAGGCUAUCAUGUGUUGCGAAUUGCUAGAGUCUGCUUCUUGGGGGUAAAUUACAAAAACACAUAGGCAAAGGAGGGCAGUCAUGCUACUGGACUUGUGGCUCUCUGGAUCCCCAAAAUUCGUCGGGUUCUUUCAAGCUAAUUAUCAGGACUAGCAGUGUUACACUGAGAUAUGAAGCGACACUUCCAGGUGGUGGCAGAGAUGGAGUGGUCCCAGUGGUUGGGGCUGGUAGCUACGGACAUCCAGCUGGACUGGAGGUCGGGGCAAUGGAAGUUGCACUGUCAGUGACAGAACACUGCAAAAAUAACGGAAGAUCAUUGGCAUUAAAAGAGGGAAGCUCAAGAUUGUUUUUUCAGCCAGUGAAGCUCAAGAUUGUUUUUUCAGCCAGUGAAGCUCAAGAUUGAUUGCAGAUAAGAUGCCUGCAGAGGUUCCCUUUACAUCGCAAGCAUAUUUGUAAGACAAUCUUCUGGGGGAUCAUUUGGUUUUGGAGGGAGUUGAUGAUGAGGAAGCUGAGAUGGUUUUGAUUGGAAGGAUUUUUUCGGAGAAGCGCUUGAGUCAAGCUACGUAGCUGACGUCUUAAGGAAAGCCUGGGCUGGUCUGGGCGAGAUAACUCUAACCCCUCAAGAUGAGACGAUGUAUUUGUUCACGUUCCAUGGAUUGGCACCAAGCAGAGAGAGGUCCUCAGUUCUGGCCCUUGGUCGAUCAUGGGAAAUUGCAUAAAUCCGCAGAGAUGGGAUGCUGAGAGGAGACAGGAGGGCCUCUGUUUUCAUGAACUGGAGGUGUGGCUGCAAAUACAAGGAUCGGCCUUCAACCAAAUGACAGAGCAUUGCGAACCUAUUGCUCGUUUGGCACACAAACUGGUGAAAGUUGAGUCAAUUCACACCAAAUCUUGGGGUCGCUGUGGAUCCCUUCGUGCUAAAGUUGCACUCAUGUUAAAAAGGCCCCCCGUACCUGAAACGUGGGGUGUUAGGGAUAAUUGCACCAUCGGGUAGAGAUUUGAUAUGAGCGAACGCCAAACUUUUGUUGCUCAUGUAUUGGCCACACUGGAGAACUAUAUGACAAUGAAGUUCUUAUGUCUGAAGCUGUGGCUAGACAGCCUAGAUAUGGCCCUUUGUAAUCUCAUGGGUUUUAAUUUUGCUACACUUGCAAGAAGUAUUAAUUUCAUGAAA